GGCUAAACAUCUAUUAAAGGCCAAACAUCUGUUUAAGGCCAAACAUCUGUUUAAGUCUGAACAGAUGUUUAACUUAAUCAGAUCUACUGUCUUCUCACACUGUUUUCCUCUUCAAAACACUGUUGAACCUAACAUCGGUUUCCAUUAACUAUUGACCAAAAGUCAAACAGAUGUUCAAACCACUGUUUGUUAUUGUAUUUCUUUACAAAUUACAUAAAUUUCAAGAAAGCGAAACAAUGACUUAAAGAACUAUAAUUUAACACAUAAUCUAAUCAGGCAAAGCAAUCUAUUAUCUGACAAUUCCCUGCUUUUGACAACAUGAAACACAACAUCAUCAUGCCAAAUACAGUCAUAUACAUCCAUCCAUUAUUCUAAAUUCAUAAACCCAUAAAUGCAGAAGAAUGUCACAUUUGCGAUUAAUAAACCAAGUUUCUACUAAUUGCACAAAAGAAGCAUGAUAUCAUCUAUAUAUAAAACAUAAAGUGCUAAUAACAGUGUUUUAUCAUGUUAGCUAUACAUCAAGUUAAUAAUUAAAAAAAACAUACAAUAUCACCAUCAAAAAAUUCAUAAUUAUAAUAUCUGAUAUCAGAACAUACUUAAAUGUCGUUGUUAAACUGAGGUAACUUGAUUUAAUACGAUUUUCUGUUCCGAAGACACGUAUGUGAAGUACAACAUAUCACCAAACCUCAACUUAUUCUCAGUCAUAAACUUUCGCCAACCGUCCAACGCAUAACGUGGCUUCAAAUCAUUUAACUCCGACUUAACAUCAUAAACCUCCACAACUCCAACCAUGUUUUGAACUUUCAAAGGAUGAAGAUCAACAGAAAGACCUGCUCGUCUGACAACUUCAACAGGAAGACGCUACAUGUAUUGUGUAGAAAAAAAAUAAUAGUCAGACAAAUAAACAUAAAUCAUUAGUUUGUAUAAAAAACGGUAUAACAGCCUAUAGUCUCCUUUGCGAUCAAAAUGAAAGAACUCAGGGUUGAGAAGAUGUCCAGAAUGUUUUUUUUGCAGUCUUUAUAAUCUUAUUUCUACAGAUAAGCUUUUUCUGAACGUUGGCGGCUCUCUUCCCCUUGAUGAAAAAAUGA
RNAcentral lists this long non-coding RNA (1088 nucleotides) under Helianthus annuus (common sunflower). RNAcentral's name for it is "sRNA HanXRQr2_Chr15g0684141". Lineage: Eukaryota; Viridiplantae; Streptophyta; Magnoliopsida; Asterales; Asteraceae. The record is from RNAcentral.